AGCGAACGCUGGCGGCAGGCCUAACACAUGCAAGUCGAACGAACCUUUCGGGGUUAGUGGCGGACGGGUGAGUAACACGUGGGAACGUGCCUUUAGGUUCGGAAUAACUCAGGGAAACUUGUGCUAAUACCGAAUGUGCCCUUCGGGGGAAAGAUUAAUCGCCUUUAGAGCGGCCCGCGUCUGAUUAGCUAGUUGGUUGAGGUAAUGGCUCACCAAGGCGACGAUCAGUAGCUGGUCUGAGAGGAUGAUCAGCCACAUUGGGACUGAGACACGGCCCAAACUCCUACGGGAGGCAGCAGUGGGGAAUCUUGCGCAAUGGGCGAAAGCCUGACGCAGCCAGGCCGCGUGAAUGAUGAAGGUCUUAGGAUGGUAAAAUUCUUUCACCGGGGACGAUAAGGACGGUACCCGGAGAAGAAGCCCCGGCUAACUGCGG
Molecule: ribosomal RNA, 433 nt
Filed under: uncultured bacterium
Lineage: Bacteria
Description: partial 16S ribosomal RNA
Rfam family: Bacterial small subunit ribosomal RNA
Source: RNAcentral